CACGUAGGGCGCAAGCGUUGUCCGGAAUUAUUGGGCGUAAAGAGCUCGUAGGCGGUCUCUGUGUCGUCCGUGUGAAAACUCGGGGCUUAACCCCGAGCCUGCAGUGGAUACGGGCAGACUAGAGGUAGGUAGGGGAGAAUGGAAUUCCCGGUGUAGCGGUGAAAUGCGCAGAUAUCGGGAGGAACACCGGUGGCGAAGGCGGUUCUCUGGGCCUUACCUGACGCUGAGGAGCGAAAGCGUGGGGAGCGAACAGG
This 254-nucleotide ribosomal RNA is filed under the name uncultured bacterium. Its description in RNAcentral is "partial 16S ribosomal RNA". It matches the Rfam family "Bacterial small subunit ribosomal RNA", at positions 524 to 776 of the family's 1533-position model. The record is from RNAcentral.